This 76-nucleotide transfer RNA is filed under the name Deltaproteobacteria bacterium. RNAcentral's name for it is "tRNA-Val". It matches the Rfam family "tRNA". From Rfam's summary of the family: Transfer RNA (tRNA) molecules are approximately 80 nucleotides in length. Lineage: Bacteria; Pseudomonadati; Myxococcota; Myxococcia. The record is from RNAcentral.
GGGCAGUUAGCUCAGCUGGUAGAGCAUCGCCCUUACAAGGCGAGGGUCAAAGGUUCGAUCCCUUUACUGCCCACCA